This 252-nucleotide ribosomal RNA is filed under the name uncultured bacterium. RNAcentral describes it as "partial 16S ribosomal RNA". It matches the Rfam family "Bacterial small subunit ribosomal RNA", at positions 524 to 775 of the family's 1533-position model. The record is from RNAcentral.
UACGUAGGGUCCGAGCGUUGUCCGGAAUUAUUGGGCGUAAAGGGCUCGUAGGCGGUUUGUCACGUCGAGCGUGAAAACUCAGGGCUCAACCCUGAGCGUGCGUUCGAUACGGGCAGACUAGAGGUAUGCAGGGGAGAACGGAAUUCCUGGUGUAGCGGUGGAAUGCGCAGAUAUCAGGAGGAACACCGGUGGCGAAGGCGGUUCUCUGGGCAUUACCUGACGCUGAGGAGCGAAAGCAUGGGGAGCGAACAG